Molecule: microRNA, 22 nt
Filed under: Symbiodinium microadriaticum
Lineage: Eukaryota; Dinophyceae; Suessiales; Symbiodiniaceae
Description: smc-miR-12461-3p
Source: miRBase by way of RNAcentral
AGUAAAUGAUCAGCAUCCUCCA